AGUGAACGCUGGCGGUAGGCCUAACACAUGCAAGUCGAACGGCAGCACAGGAGAGCUUGCUCUCUGGGUGGCGAGUGGCGGACGGGUGAGGAAUACAUCGGAAUCUACUCUGUCGUGGGGGAUAACGAAGGGAAACUUACGCUAAUACCGCAUACGACCUACGGGUGAAAGCAGGGGAUCUUCGGACCUCGCGCGAUUGAAUGAGCCGAUGUGGGAUUAGCUAGUUGGCGGGGUAAAGGCCCACCAAGGCGACGAUCCGUAGCUGGUCUGAGAGGAUGAUCAGCCACACUGGAACUGAGACACGGUCCAGACUCCUACGGGAGGCAGCAGUGGGGAAUAUUGGACAAUGGGCGCAAGCCUGAUCCAGCCAUACCGCGUGGGUGAAGAAGGCCUUCGGGUUGUAAAGCCCUUUCGUUGGGAAAGAAAUCCAGCUGGCUAAUACCCGGUUGGGAUGACGGUACCCAAAGAAUAAGCACCGGCUAACUUCGUGCCAGCAGCCGCAGUAA
Molecule: ribosomal RNA, 506 nt
Filed under: uncultured bacterium
Lineage: Bacteria
Description: partial 16S ribosomal RNA
Rfam family: Bacterial small subunit ribosomal RNA
Source: RNAcentral